UGCACCACUCCUACGGGAGGCUGCAGUCGAGGAUCUUCGUCAAUGGGCGCAAGCCUGAACGAGCGAUGCCGCGUGAGCGAUGAAGGCCUUCGGGUUGUAAAGCUCAAAAGGGGUGAGAAAGGGCAACUUGAUCGAACCCCAGUAAGCUCGGGCUAAGUUCGUGCCAGCAGCCGCGGUAAGACGAACCGAGCGAACGUUGUUCGGAAUCACUGGGCUUAAAGGGCGCGUAGGCGGGUGCUCAAGUCCGGGGUGAAAUCCUCCAGCUCAACUGGAGAACUGCCUCGGAUACUGGGUGUCUCGAGUGUGGUAGGGGUAUGCGGAACUAUCGGUGGAGCGGUGAAAUGCGUUGAUAUCGAUAGGAACUCCGGUGGCGAAGGCGGCAUACUGGACCACUACUGACGCUGAUGCGCGGAAGCCAA
Molecule: ribosomal RNA, 419 nt
Filed under: uncultured Planctomycetota bacterium
Lineage: Bacteria; Pseudomonadati; Planctomycetota
Description: bacterial SSU rRNA
Rfam family: Bacterial small subunit ribosomal RNA
Source: RNAcentral